RNAcentral lists this long non-coding RNA (1224 nucleotides) under Coffea arabica (coffee). RNAcentral describes it as "long non-coding RNA (CARA_LNC001395)". The record is from RNAcentral. Lineage: Eukaryota; Viridiplantae; Streptophyta; Magnoliopsida; Gentianales; Rubiaceae.
UUCUUUGAUUUAUCAUUUUGAGUGGUCUCUCCCAGACAACAUGCUACCUCAACACAUGGACAUGAGUGAAAAAUUUGGAAUAACACUGCAAAAGGAGCAGCCUUUGGUCAUUAUGCUGAGCAGCAGAAAAUGAAAAUCAGUGAACAGAAUAAUUUACAGUAGCAUUUUCAUCAUUAUAUGCAAGAAAAUGGACUGUAAUUUGUGUACACAGUUUGGAGGUUGUCGAGUUUCAGUAAGUUCACUGUCCAUUGCAGAAUUACUAUCUCUAUGAUGUAAAAUUAAGUGUCACGUUAUUGCUGUGCCAGCCAGGAACAACAAUUUUAUGUACCAAAGUAACAAGAAGAAUAACAACAAAGAAAAUUGACUGAUUCAGAAAUUUCUUCACAAAACCAAAUACUAUCAUUAAGCACCGAGUGAAAUAUAUAUAGGCACGUAGAUGAACAAAGAUGGGAAACGAACCAUCAAGAACAAACGUGGCUUCGUAAUUGCCAUCAUUCAAUGCACAUGACACACCAUUGUCAUCUUACUGCAUCAUUCUCAAUCCCAUAACCCGUGAAAAGAUUUGGUAUUCAACCUUUUUUUAUAUGCAAGCAGAUAUAAAGAACGUAAGAGUAAUUCUAACAUUUGAAUCAACCACGUUUGUAAUUCUAUUUUUUUCCAUUUUGACAUUCGCCUGAGCUCCUAGAAUUUAGAUUUCUCCCAAUCAAAAAAGUCAUGGCAUGGAUCAUCUAUCUAUUAGUCUCCGUAGGGUCCAAAUUCUGAAUUUUGAAGCACAAGACAUGUAUCAACACCCACUGGCAACAUUUGUAUAUUUUUGAGACAUUUGAAUGAACAGAAUUGUUUUCAUCAUCCAAGCCAAGUAUAUACAGAAAAUUUCACACAAUGUUAUUAAUGAUAAAACCCAAAAAAAACCUGGACAGAUUAGUAUAAAUGUGAACCGACCCCAAUAAAAUACAGUAGGAUGUGAAGGCUCACGUUUCUAUCCAAGUACAAGCAGAAUGGAACUGGUCAAUAUAAUAUCUACCGGAAAACAUCAAGGCAGGCAAACAGCAUUGUCUAAUCAGCUUCAGACGCCAAAAAGCCUCAACUGUAAAGACAUCUCGUACAAGGUAGUUAUCAUCUGCUAUAACACUAGGAAGAGUUUGUUCGCCUUCAUGAUGAAUAGAUCAGGGAAUGUUCUUUCACAGUGCUAGGUUACUGACUUCUCACAAUGAUGGCCCAACA